UGAGGAAUAUUGGUCAAUGGGCGCAAGCCUGAACCAGCCAUCCCGCGUGCAGGAAGACGGCCCUAUGGGUUGUAAACUGCUUUUCCAGGGAGAGAAACUUACGCACGUGUUGCGUGACUGACGGUACCCUGGGAAUAAGCAUCGGCUAACUCCGUGCCAGCAGCCGCGGUAAUACGGAGGAUGCAAGCGUAAUCCGGAUUCCUUUGGUUUAAAGGGUGCGUAGGCGGGCUAUUAAGUCAGUGGUGAAAUCCUGCAGCUUAACUGCAGAACUGCCGUUGAUACUGAUAGUCUUGAGUUUGGUUAAGGUAGGCGGAAUGUGUAAUGUAGCGGUGAAAUGCUUAGAUAUUACACAGAACACCAAUUGCGUAGGCAGCUUACUGAGCCGACACUGACGCUGAGGCACGAAAGCGUGGGGAUCAAACAG
This 424-nucleotide ribosomal RNA is filed under the name uncultured bacterium. RNAcentral's name for it is "bacterial SSU rRNA". It matches the Rfam family "Bacterial small subunit ribosomal RNA", at positions 355 to 775 of the family's 1533-position model. The record is from RNAcentral.